RNAcentral lists this unclassified non-coding RNA (228 nucleotides) under plant metagenome. RNAcentral's name for it is "partial contains small subunit ribosomal RNA, internal transcribed spacer 1, and 5.8S ribosomal RNA". The record is from RNAcentral.
UUUCCGUAGGUGAACCUGCGGAAGGAUCAUUACAGUGUUCCCUGCCCUUCGGGGUAGGGUCGCCACCCUUGAUUAUUUAUGAGUGUUGCUUUGGCGGGCCUCGCGGCCUGGCCGCGCCCCGGCUUCGGCGGGGGAGCGCCCGCCAGAGGAUUCUACAAACCUGAUUAUUAGUGUCGUCUGAGUACUACAUAAUAGUUAAAACUUUCAACAACGGAUCUCUUGGUUCUG